UGGGGAAUUUUGGACAAUGGGGGAAACCCUGAUCCAGCCAUCCCGCGUGUGCGAUGAAGGCCUUCGGGUUGUAAAGCACUUUUGGCAGGAAAGAAACGUCAUGGGUUAAUACCCCGUGAAACUGACGGUACCUGCAGAAUAAGCACCGGCUAACUACGUGCCAGCAGCCGCGGUAAUACGUAGGGUGCAAGCGUUAAUCGGAAUGACUGGGCGUAAAGCGUGCGCAGGCGGUUCGGAAAGAAAGAUGUGAAAUCCCAGAGCUCAACUUUGGAACUGCAUUUUUAACUACCGGGCUAGAGUGUGUCAGAGGGGGGUGGAAUUCCGCGUGUAGCAGUGAAAUGCGUGGAUAUGCGGAGGAACACCGGUGGCGAAGGCAGCCUCCUGGGAUUACACUGACGCUCAUGCACGAAAGCGUGGGGAGCAAACAGG
This 429-nucleotide ribosomal RNA is filed under the name Acidobacteriota bacterium. RNAcentral describes it as "Acidobacteria bacterium partial 16S ribosomal RNA". It matches the Rfam family "Bacterial small subunit ribosomal RNA", at positions 355 to 776 of the family's 1533-position model. The record is from RNAcentral. Lineage: Bacteria; Pseudomonadati; Acidobacteriota.